This 22-nucleotide microRNA is filed under the name Cervus elaphus (red deer). RNAcentral describes it as "PC-5p-13114". Lineage: Eukaryota; Metazoa; Chordata; Mammalia; Artiodactyla; Cervidae. The record is from RNAcentral.
ACGCGCUGCCUUUGAGCCCCCG